GAGGUGGUAGAAGCGUUCCAGAAUGGAUCGGAGUUCUGCUGUACUGGACACUGGAUUCUUAUUAGUAAAAGUUGUAUCCAUUGUAAAAAAAAAAAGUUUACUGUAAGAAGUCUGGAUCUGUAAAGGAUACCAAGACUGUCAUGAAGUCCUUUCCAGUUUGCAGAGACGUCUUUUUGUGACUUAAAGGAUUUUUAGUCAGGUUUCAUGUAAAUCAAUCCCUGCAAUGAAUGUCAUGACCUUUGACCCAGCAAACAGUUGUAUCACUGCACAAUACAACAUGUAAUGAUCCCGUCAAGGAGCUCUUGUUGAGCUCCGUCACCUCAGGGAGUCCCGGACUUUAGAUUAUUGGUAAUUUGCUGAAAGACGCGUCCUUAAAAAUGAGGUGUUCUGAUCAGAUACUCAACCUAAGAUGAAUUCUUUGCAAUUAGAUCAUCCUGUUGCACAAUAAAUACUCACAAAAUUUCAAAUUCAGGUCAGAGCCAGCCAAAUAGUCUAAUUCUUUCAUCCUGAUGUAAAAGUUAAAAAUGUUCUCUGGUUAAUUCAGGCAUAUAUAAAAAAAGAUAAAUGGAGCUUGGUGCUUUGCAUCAAAUUUCCAGUUUACAACGUGACAUUGAAGACAAAUCUUUCCAAAUAGGCAGUUAUUUUUGUUCGGUAAAUCCACAAUGCUGUCCAAAAGAGAUCGCAAAGCAAAUCAGCCAUAAAUCAGAUGCGAGAGUUGGGCAUCAGAGGGCUGUAGAGACCAAAAUGUAGGGCAGAGAGGGGAGCAGAGAAAUGGAACAGAAGGGGAGAGAGGAAGAUGAAAGUGGAAAUGCAGGAGGGAAAAAGCAAUGCAAGAAAAGGAACAAGACUUGAAGAAAGAAGAGACAGUGGAUGGAGAGCAAAACAGAUUGUUAGAAAAGAAAAAGAGAAAGAUGGGCUAAUAAAGUGAGUGGGAUGGAGAUAGCUUCUCCCUGGGGUUUCUCCGCUUUCUGAGUCUCACAUCCUCCAAAGAUUGCUCAUAAUGCCUGCAGGAAGUAGCCAGGUCAAAGCAGGUAUCUAAUGCUGGAGAGGGACACGAAGUGACAGUCUUAGAGGUGAAAAGCUUAAAAAAGCUAGGCUUCAAACCUGGAUGGGAGGAGAGUCAGAAAACAAGGACGGGAAAGACAGAAAAUAUUUUGCAGAAGGUUUGAUGCAGCAAAUCCCUUUCAAAGUCAGUCAGCCGUAUGUUGUUCAGUAAGGUUUCAGAAGCCUUUCUUCUGUAGCGUCACAAGAGAAGCAAGAUCCCAGCAUCGCUCCCGAUCUUCUACACAUGCCGUGGACAAAUACAAACACUGCGUUUAUCCAGCUAAAUCCUCCAGCCCUCUAAAUGAGCCCGUAAAAACAAGAAGGUGUGUGGGAAAUACAUUUCUCUGGCUCCAAACAUCCUGAUCGAAGAUGUGCUGUAGGACCAUCGAUUACCUAGCAACAACCAAGGAGAAAGAAUGGAGCUUACAUCACCACCCUUCUGAUUUCUUGGCACUACCUAUAAAGAUGUGUAACAGUCUCAAAUAAGUUAAGUUGCAUAAUCUGCAACUGGAUAAAAAUACUAGACCUGCACAAGGCUGGGAUGGGCUACAGGAAAAUGGAAAGCAGCUUGGUGAGAAGGCAACAACUGUUGGGCAAUUACAAGAAAAUGGAAGAAGUUCAAGAUAACGGUCAAGCUCCCUCAGUCUUGUGCUCCAUCCAAGAUCUCACCUCGUGGGGCAUCAAUGAUCAUCAGGAAGGGUCGGGAUCAGCCCAGAACUACAUGGCAGGAUCUAGUCGAUGACCUGAAGAGAGCUGGCACCACAGUCUCAAAGAAGCCCAUUAGUAAUACACUACGCCGCCAUGGAUUAAAAUCCUGCAGCACACGCAAGGUCCCACUGCUCAUGCCAGUGCCUGUCCAGGCCUGUCUGAAGUUUGCCGAUGACCAUCUGGAUGUUUUUCUCCAAAGGGGGCAGGACAACUGCACCGUAUUGAGGGGAGGAUGGAUAGGGCCAUGUAUCUGGAGAUCUUAGCCACCAACCUCCUUCCCUCAGUAAGGGCACUGAAGAUGGGUUGUGGCUGGGUUUUCCAGCAUGACAACGACCCAAAGAAGAGACACAGCCAGGGCAACUAAGGAGUGGCUCUGUAAGAAGCAUCUCAAUGUCCUGGAGUGGCUUAACCAAUCUCCAGACCUGAACCCAAUUAAAAUCUUUGGAGGAAGCGGAAAGAGUGUAUUGCCCAGUGACAGCCCUGAUACCUGAAGGAUCUGGAGAAGAUCUGUAUGGAG
Girardinichthys multiradiatus is the source of this 2269-nucleotide long non-coding RNA. RefSeq lists it as uncharacterized. The transcript has 3 exons. Lineage: Eukaryota; Metazoa; Chordata; Actinopteri; Cyprinodontiformes; Goodeidae. The record is from RefSeq and is a predicted model, not a curated record.